AACAGGAUUAGAUACCCUGGUAGUCCACGCCGUAAACGAUGAGUACUAGGUGUAGGAGGUAUCGACUCCUUCUGUGCCGCAGUUAACACAAUAAGUACUCCGCCUGGGAAGUACGGUCGCAAGAUUAAAACUCAAAGGAAUUGACGGGGGCCCGCACAAGCAGCGGAGCAUGUGGUUUAAUUCGAAGCAACGCGAAGAACCUUACCUAGACUUGACAUCUCCUGAAUAGCCGGUAACUCGGCGAAGCCUUUCGGGGCAGGAAGACAGGUGGUGCAUGGUUGUCGUCAGCUCGUGUCGUGAGAUGUUGGGUUAAGUCCCGCAACGAGCGCAACCCUUAUUAUUAGUUGCUACCAUUUAGUUGAGCACUCUAAUGAGACUGCCGUGGUUAACGCGGAGGAAGGUGGGGAUGACGUCAAAUCAUCAUGCCCCUUAUGUCUAGGGCUACACACGUGCUACAAUGGUGAGUACAAAGAGACGCAAUAUCGUGAGGUGGAGCAAAACUCAAAAACUCAUCCCAGUUCGGAUUGUAGGCUGAAACUCGCCUACAUGAAGCCGGAGUUGCUAGUAAUCGCGAAUCAGCAUGUCGCGGUGAAUACGUUCCCGGGCCUUGUACACACCGCCCGUCACACCAUGAGAGUCUGCAACACCCGAAGUCCGUGAGGUAACCCGUAAGGGAGCCAGCGGCCGAAGGUGGGGCCGAUGAUUGGGGUGAAGUCGUAACAAGGUAACC
This 730-nucleotide ribosomal RNA is filed under the name uncultured bacterium. Its description in RNAcentral is "bacterial SSU rRNA". It matches the Rfam family "Bacterial small subunit ribosomal RNA", at positions 771 to 1501 of the family's 1533-position model. The record is from RNAcentral.